GGGAAGGAGAGGAAGAGCAAAAGGUGGAGAUGGAUCUGUUGGAGAAGUAGGAGAAGCCAUUGGUAUAGGUGGUGUAGGAUAAGGAAGGUGGUGAAGGAUAAGAAGAGUAGUGAAGGAUAAAGAGAUUGUUGUUGAUGUUGUUGUUGGAGGAGGAAGUGGCGGUGAAGGAUAAGGAGGGUGGUGUAGGAUAAGAAGGGUGGUGAAUGAUAAAGAGAUUGUUUAUGAUGUUGUUGUUGUUGUUGUUGGAGGAGGAAGUGGUGGUGUAGGAUAAGGAAGGUGGUGAAGGAUAAGAAGGGUUGUUGUUGUUGGAGGAAGUGGUGGUGUAGGAUAAGGAAGGUGGUGUAGGAUAAGAAGGGUGGUUGUUGAUGUUGGAGGAGGAAGUGGUGGUGAAGGAUAAGGAAGUGGUGGUGAAGGAUAAGGAAGGUGGUGAAGGAUAAGAAGGGUGGUUGAUGAUGAAGUUGGAGGAGGAAGUGGUGGUGAAAGGGGAAAGGGGCAUGGUAAUAAAAGAGGGGGAAGAGGGAAGAGGUGGGUGGGGGAUAGGUAUGGUGGGAGG
Molecule: long non-coding RNA, 553 nt
Filed under: Lupinus angustifolius (narrow-leaved blue lupine)
Lineage: Eukaryota; Viridiplantae; Streptophyta; Magnoliopsida; Fabales; Fabaceae
Description: long non-coding RNA (LANG_LNC000110)
Source: RNAcentral